CCAUCUGUAUCACCAGAUGACCCUAAGAGCCUGAAUAAAGCAGCGGCUCUGACAACGUAACGAAGCUUGGUCGUUAGGCUGAGCGGGAGCAAAAUCGUGAGAGGAUGUUCCUCCUGAUAACCACAAAAUCGGGUGAGUGC
RNAcentral lists this non-coding RNA (140 nucleotides) under Vibrio crassostreae. The record is from RNAcentral. Lineage: Bacteria; Pseudomonadati; Pseudomonadota; Gammaproteobacteria; Vibrionales; Vibrionaceae.